RNAcentral lists this transfer RNA (70 nucleotides) under Loxodonta africana (African savanna elephant). It matches the Rfam family "tRNA". From Rfam's summary of the family: Transfer RNA (tRNA) molecules are approximately 80 nucleotides in length. Their secondary structure includes four short double-helical elements and three loops (D, anti-codon, and T loops). The record is from Rfam by way of RNAcentral. Lineage: Eukaryota; Metazoa; Chordata; Mammalia; Proboscidea; Elephantidae.
GCAGUGGUGGUUCAGUGGCAGAGUUCUCAUCUUUCAUAAGGAAACCUGGGUUCAAUUCCUGGCCAGUGCC